Molecule: non-coding RNA, 266 nt
Organism: Lactuca sativa (garden lettuce)
Lineage: Eukaryota; Viridiplantae; Streptophyta; Magnoliopsida; Asterales; Asteraceae
Source: RefSeq, a predicted model, not a curated record
GCUAUGUAUGAUAUGGGCCGGAAGGCAUUAUGACGUGGAUCGGAAGGUCGAUACGAGUAGGACCAGAAGGUCUACUGGGACUGGGACGGAAGUCCCCUGAGACACAUGGAUCGGAAGGUACUAGCGAGGACCGUGGGAAGGCGCCGACAUGACUCGUACACACUAGAGAGAGGAUUUGAUUUUUGUGAUCUUGGGAUACGAUAUGUUUUGAUAACUAUUGUUGGAUAUUUUUGAAAAUAUUUUAUGUGAAAAUGGUUGUGACAAAA